Long non-coding RNA from Theobroma umbraticum, 567 nucleotides. RefSeq lists it as uncharacterized. Lineage: Eukaryota; Viridiplantae; Streptophyta; Magnoliopsida; Malvales; Malvaceae. The record is from RefSeq and is a predicted model, not a curated record.
CUCUAUAAGAACCUCAUCGGCAUAGGAGAAUUGGCAAAACAAGAAAGAUAUUGUUGAGGAAAGAUGGCAAAAACUUCUCUGAUGAAGGUGGUAUUGUGCUGUGCAAUGUUAUUAACAAUCAUUCAAGUGGGGCAGUCGAAAGACUAUGACCUUUGCAUGAAAGAUUGCUUGGAAAGACGAGGAUGUACUUCACCCCCUGGCUUUUGGUGUGAAUUGAAUUGCGAGAUCCCGUGCGGAAUGGUCGGUGGUGACAGCUACCAACCCACCAAGACUGAAGGUGCGUUGAAUGGAGGGCCAAACCACCUUCCUAAUCAGAUGAACCCUACCAACAAUUGAGCUGCAACAAGGACGCCAUUGCCCCUUCCCAGAAUUACCGGUGAUGGAACUAACAGGAGAGGAAUUUUCCUCUAGCUUCUGGUCUACUUUGAUACAAAGGCUUGAAUAUUUCAUGCAUGUAACAAAGGAAGAUCAUGUCUAUGAUAUUUCAUUUAUUAUUUUAUAAUAUUCUUUUACAAUUUAUCUCCCUUUGUAACAUGUUUUUGCACAAAUAAAAAUAAUAUUGUUUAA